AACGUAAGGUUUGGUCCUGAACUUAUAAUCAAUAUAUCUCUUAAUUUAUACAUGCAAGUCUCAGCACCCCCGUGAGGACGCCCUUUUUCCCUUUACCAGGUCAAGGAGCUGAUAUCAGGCACCACACCCAUCCCGCCCACAACAUCUAAUCCCACCACGCCCACAAGGGUAUUCGAAAAGGAUAAGCAUUGACUAGAAGCGCCAGCUUGAUUCAAUUAGAGAGAAGAGGGCCGGCUAACUAGGUGCCAGCCGCCGCGGCUACCCCCCGGGGCCCAAAUUGGUGAGAACCGCUGUUCAGGGCGAUUCAUGACUACCCUAAUUAAAGGAAAAAAGCACACCUGAAGCACAGAAUAUC
Molecule: ribosomal RNA, 355 nt
Filed under: Fejervarya cancrivora (crab-eating frog)
Lineage: Eukaryota; Metazoa; Chordata; Amphibia; Anura; Dicroglossidae
Description: partial 12S ribosomal RNA
Source: RNAcentral